ACUAACGUGUUUGUGCUUUGGAAAUGCGGACACAGAAGAAAAAAGUGCGUGGAAUAGAGAAACCUCUUGAUCUAGAUCUGGACACCAUACAGUCUAAUUAGGACCACCAAAUUCACUUCUCCUAGGGCCUACAAUUAUCUUAGACCGACCAUGACCAUGGUAUCUGAAUAAAACGCGAAAAAAACUGUAAUAAAAUAUACAAACUAAUCUUAA
This is a long non-coding RNA of Biomphalaria glabrata, 213 nucleotides long. RefSeq lists it as uncharacterized. The transcript is spliced from 2 exons. The record is from RefSeq and is a predicted model, not a curated record. Lineage: Eukaryota; Metazoa; Mollusca; Gastropoda; Planorbidae.